UCCCAUAUGGUCUAGUGGUUGCGAUUUGGCGCUUUCACCGCCAAGGCCCGUGUUCAAUUCCCGGUGUGGGAA
RNAcentral lists this transfer RNA (72 nucleotides) under Saccoglossus kowalevskii. RNAcentral's name for it is "tRNA-Glu". It matches the Rfam family "tRNA". Rfam says of the family: Transfer RNA (tRNA) molecules are approximately 80 nucleotides in length. The record is from RNAcentral. Lineage: Eukaryota; Metazoa; Hemichordata; Enteropneusta; Harrimaniidae.